Molecule: ribosomal RNA, 301 nt
Filed under: uncultured bacterium
Lineage: Bacteria
Description: partial 16S ribosomal RNA
Rfam family: Bacterial small subunit ribosomal RNA
Source: RNAcentral
CAGCAGCCGCGGUAAUACAGAGGAUGCAAGCGUUAUCCGGAAUGAUUGGGCGUAAAGCGUCUGUAGGUGGCUUUUCAAGUCCGCCGUCAAAUCCCAGGGCUCAACCCCGGACAGGCGGUGGAAACUACCAAGCUGGAGCACGGUAGGGGCAGAGGGAAUUUCCGGUGGAGCGGUGAAAUGCGUAGAUAUAUGGAGGAACACCGGUGGCGAAAGCGGCUCUCUGGCUUGUAACUGACGCUGAGGCUCGAAAGCGUGGGGAGCAAACAGGAUUAGAUACCCGUGUAGUCCCUGUCUCUUAUAC